GACGAACGCUGGCGGCGUGCUUAACACAUGCAAGUCGAACGGAAAGGCCCUGCUUUUGUGGGGUGCGCGAGUGGCGAAGGGGUGUGUAACACGUGAGUAACCUGCCCUUGACUUUGGGAAAACUUCAGGAAACUGGGGCUAAUACCGGAUAGGAGCUCCUGAUGCAUGGUGGGGGUUGGAAAGUUUCGGCGGGUGGGGAUGGACUGGCGGCUUAUCAGCUUGUUGGUGGGGUAGUGGCUUACCAAGGCUUUGGUGGGUAGCCGGCCUGGGAGGGUGACCGGCCACAUUGGGCCUGGGAUAGGCCCCGGACUCCUACGGGAGGCAGCAGUGGGGAAUAUUGCACAAUGGGCGGAAGCCGGAGGCAGCAACGCCGCGUGCGGGAUGACGGCCUUCGGGUUGUAAACCGCUUUCGCCUGUGACGAAGCGUGAGUGACGGUAAUGGGUAAAGAAGCACCGGCUAACUACGUG
Molecule: ribosomal RNA, 468 nt
Filed under: uncultured bacterium
Lineage: Bacteria
Description: partial 16S ribosomal RNA
Rfam family: Bacterial small subunit ribosomal RNA
Source: RNAcentral